Molecule: ribosomal RNA, 200 nt
Filed under: uncultured bacterium
Lineage: Bacteria
Description: partial 16S ribosomal RNA
Rfam family: Bacterial small subunit ribosomal RNA
Source: RNAcentral
AGAGUUUGAUCCUGGCUCAGGACGAACGCUGGCGGCGUGCUUAACACAUGCAAGUCGAACGAGGUAGCAAUACCUAGUGGCGGACGGGUGAGUAACGCGUAGGUAAUCUGCCCAUCGGUGGGGGAUACCCAGUCGAAAGAUUGGUUAAUACCGCAUACGCUAGUCCUCUGUAACGGGGAUUAGGAAAGAUUUAUUGCCGA